GUUUGGUUUUACUCCUAGGGAUCCUCAAAAGCGGAGUGGGGGUGUUGAACCUCUGGGAAACCUGAUGCGAUGGCUGUAGCUGUGGUGAUGAAUUGUGUGAUGAGGGCUGUUGCCUGAUUUGCUCUACCAUGCCUGAACUUCUAGCAAGUAAGAAUGGGACCCUUAAAGGCAGAGUGGAGGUGUUGAGCCUCUGGGAAACCUGAUGUGUGAUGGCUGUAGCUGGUGGCGAUGAAUCAUGUGAUGAGGGCUGUUGUCUGGUUUGCUCCACCAUAUGGGCCCCUCUGGCAGGGGAAAAUGGUUGAGAUUUGUCAGAAGUUGUCCUGGGACCUGCUGUGAUUUCAGUCUACCCACCAGAAAGCUGUCUUCUGCUAAUCGUCUUCCUCUCCAUGCUGCUGCCUGUCCCUUGUCCAAGCUACAGCAUUCACAUCGCCCUGCAACAGCUCUGGUCUUCUCAGAGCUAGCAGGAGUAAUAAAUUGGUGUCCUGCCAACA
Molecule: long non-coding RNA, 491 nt
Organism: Cuculus canorus (common cuckoo)
Lineage: Eukaryota; Metazoa; Chordata; Aves; Cuculiformes; Cuculidae
Exons: 3
Source: RefSeq, a predicted model, not a curated record